Molecule: ribosomal RNA, 328 nt
Filed under: uncultured eukaryote
Lineage: Eukaryota
Description: partial 18S ribosomal RNA
Rfam family: Eukaryotic small subunit ribosomal RNA
Source: RNAcentral
CCCUUAGAUGUCCGGGGCUGCACGCGCGCUACACUGAAGGAAUCAGCGUGCUAAAACCAUUGUCGAAAGGCAUUGGUAAACCCAUUAAAAUCCUACGUGAUUGGGAUCGGGAAUUGCAAUUAUUUCCCUUGAACGAGGAAUUCCCAGUAAGUGUGGGUCAUAAGCUCGCGUUGAUUACGUCCCUGCCCUUUGUACACACCGCCCGUCGCUGCCCGGGACUGAGCCGUUUCGAGAAAAGCGGGGACUGCUGCUGUCGGGGCUUUCGGGCCUUGGCUUCGGUGGGAACCGCUUUAAUCGCAGUGGCUUGAACCGGGCAAAAGUCGUAACA